ACAUGGGCACCGNAUCAUCAAUGCCGCGUGAGUGAAGAAGGCCUUCGGGUUGUAAAGCUCUUUUGUCAGGGAAGAAACACCGGCUCUAACACAGUCCGGGAAUGACGGUACCUGAAGAAUAAGCACCGGCUAACUACGUGCCAGCAGCCGCGGUAAUACGUAGGGUGCGAGCGUUAAUCGGAAUUACUGGGCGUAAAGCGUGCGCAGGCGGUUAUACAAGACAGGCGUGAAAUCCCCGGGCUUAACCUGGGAAAGGCGCCUGUGACUGUAUAGCUAGAGUGUGUCAGAGGGGGGUAGAAUUCCACGUGUAGCAGUGAAAUGCGUAGAUAUGUGGAGGAAUACCAAUGGCGAAGGCAGCCCCCUGGGAUAACACUGACGCUCAUGCACGAAAGCGUGGGGAGCAAACAGGAUUAGAUACCCUGGUAGUCCACGCCCUAAACGAUACUGACUAGUUGUUCGGGAUUUACAUCCUGAGUAACGUAGCUAACGCGUGAAGUCAGCCGCCUGGGGAGUACGGUCGCAAGAUUAAAACUCAAAGGAAUUGACGGGGACCCGCACAAGCGGUGGAUGAUGUGGAUUAAUUCGAUGCAACGCGAAAANACUUACCUACCCUUGACAUGUCACUAACGAAGUAGAGAUUCUUAAGCGCUCGUAAGAG
RNAcentral lists this ribosomal RNA (658 nucleotides) under uncultured bacterium. RNAcentral's name for it is "bacterial SSU rRNA". It matches the Rfam family "Bacterial small subunit ribosomal RNA", at positions 371 to 1026 of the family's 1533-position model. The record is from RNAcentral.